RNAcentral lists this non-coding RNA (851 nucleotides) under Loxosomella aloxiata. The record is from RNAcentral. Lineage: Eukaryota; Metazoa; Entoprocta; Loxosomatidae.
UAUAAAGAUUGACCUUGUCUUAUUUUUAUUAGGAAGCUUUAUAAUACAUGGAAUAUUUAUAGAAACGGUAAAGAUAAAAUUUUAAUAAAGCUAUUUUUAAUAAAUAGCUUUAUUAAAAAUAGAGGAUUAGUAAAAAUAAUCAUCCUUAAUAAAUUUUUACAACUCCAGUAUUUAAAAUUGUUUUAAUAAUUAAGGUUAGUAACAGAAAGUUUUUAAAAGAUAGCUAAUUUUGUGCCAGCAGCUGCGGUUACACAAAAAUCUUAAAAUAAAAUAUUUGGUAAAAUGUAGUUAAUUUGUUAAAGUGAAAAUUAAGAACUUUUUAAGGUAAAAUUUUUAUAAUUUCUUUAUAUCUUAUUUCACUUAAAAGGAUCUACUAAGAUAAAGACAAAAACUAGGAUUAGAUACCCUAUUAUUCUUUAUUUUAAAUAAUUUAACCAGAGGACUACGAGAUUAUUCUUAAAACUCUAAAGGUUUGGCGGUGUUUUAUUUUUCUAGGGGAACCUGUCCUGUAAUCGAUAAUCCACGAAAACCUUACUUUUUCUUGUUAAAGCUCAUCUACCUCCGUAAAAGAAACGCCCAAAGACUAAAAUAGUUUCUGCAAAAAAUUUAUUUUCUUAUGGCAGGUAAAAGUGUGGCUUAUGAAAAAGGAGAGAUGGGUUACGAUUUUAAAUUUAAAUAUGAAUUUUUUUUUCUUGAAAAGGGAAAUGAAAGUGUACUUAGUAGUAAUUAGAUUAAAUGAAAUUCUAAUGAAAUAACACUCUAAAACAUGCACAAACCGCCCGUCGCCUUCAUUGGGUUAAAUGAAGUAAGUCGUAACAAGGUGAGGGUAUCGGAAGCUGCUCUCUGUAUCU